AGUCAGCAUUAAGGUUUUAAACCCUAAACUGAACUUUUCCAUUUAGUCAGCAUUAGGGUUUUAAACCCUAAACUGAACUUUUCCAUUUAGUCAGCAUUAGGGUUUUAAAGCCUAAACUGAACUUUUCCAUUUAGUCAACAUUAGGGUUUUAAACCCUAAACUGAACUUUUUCCAUUCAGUCAGCAUUAGGGUUUUAAACCCUAAACUGAACUUUUUCCAUUUAGUCAGCAUUAGGGUUUUAAACCCUAAACUGUACUCUUUCCUUUAGUCAGCAUUAGGGUAUUAAACCCUAAACUGAACUCUUUCCUUUAGUCAGCAUUAGGGUUUUAAACCCUAAACUGAACUCUUUCCUUUAGUCAGCAUUAGGGUUUUAAACCCUAAACUGAACUUUUUCCUUCAGUCAGCAUUAGGGUUUUAAACCCUAGACUGAACUCUUUCCUUUAGUCAGCAUUAGGGUUUUAAACCCUAAACUGAACUCUUUCCUUCAGUCAGCAUUAGGGUUUUAAACCCUAAACUGAACUUUUUCCAUUCAGUCAGCAUUAGGGUUUUAAACCCUAAACUGAACUUUUUCCAUUUAGUCAGCAUUAAGGUUUUAAACCCUAAACUGAACACUUUCCUUCAGUCAGCAUUAGGGUUUUAAACCCUAAACUGAACUUUUUCCUUUAGUCAGCAUUAGGGUUUUAAACCCUAAACUGAACUCUUUCCUUCAGUCAGCAUUAGGGUUUUAAACCCUAAACUGAACUCUUUCCUUCAGUCAGCAUUAGGGUUUUAAACCCUAAACUGAACUUUUUCCAUUUAGUCAGCAUUAGGGUCUUAAACCCUAAACUGUACUCUUUCCUUUAGUCAGCAUUAG
This 853-nucleotide long non-coding RNA is filed under the name Nicotiana tabacum (common tobacco). Its description in RNAcentral is "long non-coding RNA (NTAB_LNC005798)". Lineage: Eukaryota; Viridiplantae; Streptophyta; Magnoliopsida; Solanales; Solanaceae. The record is from RNAcentral.